Molecule: ribosomal RNA, 374 nt
Filed under: Kitasatospora albolonga
Lineage: Bacteria; Bacillati; Actinomycetota; Actinomycetes; Kitasatosporales; Streptomycetaceae
Description: bacterial SSU rRNA
Rfam family: Bacterial small subunit ribosomal RNA
Source: RNAcentral
AGCCUUUCGGGGUGGAUUAGUGGCGAACGGGUGAGUAACACGUGGGCAAUCUGCCCUUCACUCUGGGACAAGCCCUGGAAACGGGGUCUAAUACCGGAUAACACUCCUGCCUGCAUGGGUAGGGGUUGAAAGCUCCGGCGGUGAAGGAUGAGCCCGCGGCCUAUCAGCUUGUUGGUGGGGUAAUGGCCUACCAAGGCGACGACGGGUAGCCGGCCUGAGAGGGCGACCGGCCACACUGGGACUGAGACACGGCCCAGACUCCUACGGGAGGCAGCAGUGGGGAAUAUUGCACAAUGGGCGAAAGCCUGAUGCAGCGACGCCGCGUGAGGGAUGACGGCCUUCGGGUUGUAAACCUCUUUCAGCAGGGAAGAAGC